RNAcentral lists this transfer RNA (77 nucleotides) under Phycisphaerae bacterium. RNAcentral's name for it is "tRNA-Arg". It matches the Rfam family "tRNA". Rfam says of the family: Transfer RNA (tRNA) molecules are approximately 80 nucleotides in length. Their secondary structure includes four short double-helical elements and three loops (D, anti-codon, and T loops). The record is from RNAcentral. Lineage: Bacteria; Pseudomonadati; Planctomycetota; Phycisphaerae.
GCGCCCAUAGCUCAAUUGGAUAGAGCGUCGGUCUACGGAACCGAAGGUUGCAGGUUCGAGUCCUGCUGGGCGUACCA